AGCGAACGCUGGCGGCGUACUUAACACAUGCAAGUCGAACGAGGAUCUUCGGUGUAGCAAUACAUCGGCGGUCCUAGUGGCGCACGGGUGAGUAACACGUGGGUGACCUGCCCUUGAGCUCGGGAUACCCCCUCGAAAGGGGGACGUAUACUGGAUACGUUCCUCGGUCGAAAGACUGAGGAGGAAAGGUAGGCGCAAGCUGCCGCUCUUGGAGGGGCGUCGCGGCCUAUCAGCUAGUUGGCGGGGUAACGGCCCACCAAGGCUAUGACGGGUAGCUGGUCUGAGAGGACGACCA
RNAcentral lists this ribosomal RNA (295 nucleotides) under uncultured bacterium. Its description in RNAcentral is "partial 16S ribosomal RNA". It matches the Rfam family "Bacterial small subunit ribosomal RNA", at positions 29 to 306 of the family's 1533-position model. The record is from RNAcentral.